GUUGGGCACUCUAGCGAGACUGCGGUAAUUAAACCGGAGGAAGGUGGGAUGACGUCAAUCAUCAUGCCCUUAUGACCUGGGCUACACACGUGCUACAAUGGUUGGUACAACGAGUUGCGAGUCGGUGACGGCGAGCUAAUCUCUUAAAGCCAAUCUCAGUUCGGAUUGUAGGCUGCAACGUCGCCUAACAUCGAAGUCGGAAUCGCUAGUAAUCGCGGAUCAGCACGCCGCGGUGAAUACGUUCCCGGGCCUU
This 253-nucleotide ribosomal RNA is filed under the name uncultured Streptococcus sp. RNAcentral describes it as "partial 16S ribosomal RNA". It matches the Rfam family "Bacterial small subunit ribosomal RNA", at positions 1130 to 1382 of the family's 1533-position model. Lineage: Bacteria; Bacillati; Bacillota; Bacilli; Lactobacillales; Streptococcaceae. The record is from RNAcentral.